CACGUAGGGCGCAAGCGUUGUCCGGAAUUAUUGGGCGUAAAGAGCUCGUAGGCGGUCUGUUGCGUCCGCUGUGAAAACUCGGGGCUUAACCCCGCAGCCUGCAGUGGAUACGGGCAGACUAGAGGUAGGUAGGGGAGAAUGGAAUUCCCGGUGUAGCGGUGAAAUGCGCAGAUAUCGGGAGGAACACCGGUGGCGAAGGCAGGUCUCUGGGCCGAUACUGACGCUGAGGAGCGAAAGCGUGGGGAGCGAACAGG
Molecule: ribosomal RNA, 254 nt
Filed under: uncultured bacterium
Lineage: Bacteria
Description: partial 16S ribosomal RNA
Rfam family: Bacterial small subunit ribosomal RNA
Source: RNAcentral